Molecule: ribosomal RNA, 1235 nt
Filed under: metagenome
Description: bacterial LSU rRNA
Rfam family: Bacterial large subunit ribosomal RNA
Source: RNAcentral
UGAUGACGAGACGCUAAGGCGUUGAAGCAGUGUAUGUCAGACUUCCAAGAAAAGCUCGCAAUGUCACAAAUAAAAAUUGCCUGUACCAUAACCGACACAGGUGGGUAGGUAGAGUAUACUAAGGGGCGCGAGAUAACUCUCUCUAAGGAACUCGGCAAAAUGACUCCGUAACUUCGGGAGAAGGAGUGCCUUAUUUAUAAGGUUGCAAUAACAAGAUCCAAGCAACUGUUUAUCAAAAACACAGGUCUCCGCUAAGUCGUAAGACGAUGUAUGGGGGCUGACGCCUGCCCAGUGCCAGAAGGUUAAAGAAGUUGGUUAGUGUAUGCGAAGCUGAUGACUGAAGCCCUGGUGAACGGCGGCCGUAACUAUAACGGUCCUAAGGUAGCGAAAUUCCUUGUCGGGUAAGUUCCGACCCGCACGAAAGGCGUAAUGAUUUGGAUACUGUCUCGGAGAGAGGCUCGGUGAAAUAGACUUGUCUGUGAAGAUGCGGACUACCUGCACCAGGACAGAAAGACCCUAUGAAGCUUUACUGUAACUUGAAAUUGGAAUUGGACUUUGCUUGCGCAGUAUAGGUGGGAAGCGUUGAAAAUAUUCUUGCGGGAGUAUUGGAGCUAUCAGUGAGAUACCACUCUUGUAAUGUUAGAUUUCUAACUUUGAACCAUAAUCUGGUCAAAGAACAGUUUCAGGUGGGCAGUUUGACUGGGGCGGUCGCCUCCCAAAUGGUAACGGAGGCGUACAAAGGUUUCCUCUGAACGGAUAGAAAUCGUAUCUAGAGUGUAAAGGCAUAAGGAAGCUUGACUGUGAGACCUACAAGUCGAGCAGGGACGAAAGUCGGUCUUAGUGAUCUGACGGUACUGAGUGGAAAGGCCGUCACUCAACGGAUAAAAGUUACUCUAAGGAUAACAGGCUGAUCUCCCCCAAGAGUUCACAUCGACGGGGAGGUUUGGCACCUCGAUGUCGGCUCAUCGCAUCCUGGGGCGGUAGUACGUCCCAAGGGUUGGGCUGUUCGCCCAUGAAAGCGGUACGCGAGCUGGGUUCAGAACGUCGUGAGACAGUUCGGUCCAUAUCCGGUGUAGGCGCUAGAAUAUUGAGAGGAGCCUUCUUUAGUACGAGAGGACCGAGAAGGACACACCGCUGGUGUACCAGUUAUCGUGCCAACGGUAAACGCUGGGUAGCUAUGUGUGGAGUGGAUAACCGCUGAAAGCAUCUAAGUGGGAAGCCCACCUCGGGAUGAG